UUGUCUCAGGUGUCUGGAAAAUUUUAAAUAUGCUUUUGAAAUGGCUCAUGGAAUUAAUGGUGACAGCGAACAUGACAGGCAGUUGGUUUAAAUUAAAGUGCUAUUGAUCAACAAUCAAGUGAUGAUCAGUACCAUAAAUAUUUUCCCUUUCUUAAACCCUCGUUCUUCCCCCCCUAAAUUCCGAGACCAUUUGGUUCCUGCAAUUUAAGUCUAAAUUCUUAGGUCCAUGUGUGAAAGAUAAAAUGAAUGUCAAUUGCUAUUGGAAAAAAUCAGGAAUUGAAUGAGAUUUGCAAGACCUAGUUUCUUAAGCGGAAAUUGAGCCCUAUUUUGUGGGAAAUUAGUUUUGCAGACUUUCUAAAAAAAAAAAAAAAUCUAAAACUUUUGUUCAGCAGCUGCUCCACUUUUCCCUGCAGUUUCAGAGUGAGCUGGAACCUGCAGCAGUCUUUAAACGUGCUUAUCAACACACAUCACAAGAGAUCUUCAUCUCGUAUACCUAGAGACGCCACUCCACAACCUCAUUCUGCACCGCUCCUGCAUCUGUCAGCCAUUGAACCUGGCCAAGAGUCUUUCUAUAUUAUUCUCAAGAGAGUUUGAGUAAUCCCAGGACCGGAUAAGAAAUGCAACCUAUGUGUUUCAUGCACGUUAAAUGGUAGGAAACGUGUCUGCUUACAAAAUGCAACUAGUUCCUGUCCACUCAGGCUCCCUC
Terrapene triunguis (Three-toed box turtle) is the source of this 706-nucleotide long non-coding RNA. RefSeq lists it as uncharacterized. The record is from RefSeq and is a predicted model, not a curated record. The transcript is spliced from 3 exons. NCBI's taxonomy places the organism in Eukaryota, Metazoa, Chordata, Testudines, Emydidae.